Molecule: long non-coding RNA, 706 nt
Organism: Mus musculus (house mouse)
Lineage: Eukaryota; Metazoa; Chordata; Mammalia; Rodentia; Muridae
Product: predicted gene, 35337
Exons: 3
Source: RefSeq, a predicted model, not a curated record
AUUCUUCUCCCCUCCUCACCUGGAAAAUGAAGGAAUGGGACUGUACCUGACAGCUCUGAAGGUUCCAAAGGACAGUGGGGUGGGGACUAGAGAGUUGGCCCAGUGCUUAUGAGCACUGGCUGCUCUCGCAGAGGACCUGAGUUCUGUUCCCAGCUCACAUAGCAAGGACUCGAAACUGCUUGGAACUCCAGCUCCAGAGAAUCUGACGCUAUCUCCUGGCCUCAUCAGGGAACAAAGUUCGUGCACAUUGACCUGUCGACCGUGUAGUACGGGAUCCGCUCCAGGAAGCUAAAGAUUUUGGGAUGCUUCAUGUUGCAGCUACUCUGAUGAACAGUGUUGCUUUCUGGGCCAGAUACUGUACAAGGAAGAGAAAAGGCAGCCACAUCAAAACAGUGUAAAUCAACGAGAAAACCAGAAACAACUCAAGAGAAGGCUGCAGGGGCCUGAAUUCUGUUCUCAGAACCUGCAUCAAGCCAAGAGAAUCAAAACUGUCUGUAACUCCAGCUCCCUGGGAUCCAACACCCAUUUCUGGCCUCCAUCAGCAUCACUCACAGGUGUGCACACAUACACAUCAAUAAAAAUCAAAACCAGGGAUGAAGGGGUAGGGAGGUGCAUGUGGAUCUGGGAGGAGCUGAGAGGCACUGGGUGAAUACAAUAAAAAAUUUGGUGCAUGGUGGUGCACGCCUUUAAUCCCAGCACUUGGGAG